ACGGAGGAUGCAAGUGUUAUCCGGAAUCACUGGGCGUAAAGCGUGCGUAGGUGGUUUGUUAAGUCUGAUGUGAAAGCCCUGGGCUCAACCUGGGAACGGCAUUGGAUACUGGCUUACUAGAGUGCGGUAGAGGGGUGUGGAAUUCCCGGUGUAGCAGUGAAAUGCGUAGAUAUCGGGAGGAACAUCUGUGGCGAAGGCGACACCCUGGACCAGCACUGACACUGAGGCACGAAAGCGUGGGGAGCAAACAGGA
RNAcentral lists this ribosomal RNA (253 nucleotides) under uncultured prokaryote. RNAcentral's name for it is "partial 16S ribosomal RNA". It matches the Rfam family "Bacterial small subunit ribosomal RNA", at positions 525 to 777 of the family's 1533-position model. The record is from RNAcentral.